AUUGAGCGCUGGCGGAAUGCUUUACACAUGCAAGUCGAACGGCAGCACGGACUUCGGUCUGGUGGCGAGUGGCGAACGGGUGAGUAAUGUAUCAGAACGUGCCCAGUCGUGGGGGAUAACGUAGUGAAAAUUACGCUAAUACCGCAUACGAUCUAUGGAUGAAAGCGGGGGAUCGCAAGACCUCGCGCGAUUGGAGCGGCCGAUAUCAGAUUAGGUAGUUGGUGGGGUAAAGGCCCACCAAGCCAACGAUCUGUAGCUGGUCUGAGAGGACGACCAGCCACACUGGAACUGAGACACGGUCCAGACUCCUACGGGAGGCAGCAGUGGGGAAUUUUGGACAAUGGGCGAAAGCCUGAUCCAGCCAUUCCGCGUGCAGGAUGAAGGCCCUCGGGUUGUAAACUGCUUCUGUACAGAACGAAAAGGUUUCUGCUAAUACUAGGAGCUCAUGACGGUACUGUAAGAAUAAGCACCGGCUAACUACGUGCCAGCAGCCGCCGUAA
Molecule: ribosomal RNA, 500 nt
Filed under: uncultured bacterium
Lineage: Bacteria
Description: partial 16S ribosomal RNA
Rfam family: Bacterial small subunit ribosomal RNA
Source: RNAcentral